Molecule: ribosomal RNA, 468 nt
Filed under: uncultured bacterium
Lineage: Bacteria
Description: partial 16S ribosomal RNA
Rfam family: Bacterial small subunit ribosomal RNA
Source: RNAcentral
GACGAACGCUGGCGGCGUGCUUAACACAUGCAAGUCGAACGGAAAGGCCCUGCUUUUGUGGGGUGCUCGAGUGGCGAACGGGUGAGUAACACGUGAGUAACCUGCCCUUGACUUUGGGAUAACUUCAGGAAACUGGGGCUAAUACCGGAUAGGAGCUCCUGCUGCAUGGUGGGGGUUGGAAAGUUUCGGCGGUUGGGGAUGGACUCGCGGCUUAUCAGCUUGUUGGUGGGGUAGUGGCUUACCAAGGCUUUGACGGGUAGCCGGCCUGAGAGGGUGACCGGCCACAUUGGGACUGAGAUACGGCCCAGACUCCUACGGGAGGCAGCAGUGGGGAAUAUUGCACAAUGGGCGGAAGCCUGAUGCAGCACCGCCGCGUGCGGGAUGACGGCCUUCGGGUUGUAAACCGCUUUCGCCGGUGACGAAGCGUGAGUGACGGUAAUGGGUAAAGAAGCACCGGCUAACUACGUG